This 553-nucleotide ribosomal RNA is filed under the name Candida albicans. Its description in RNAcentral is "eukaryotic LSU rRNA". It matches the Rfam family "Eukaryotic large subunit ribosomal RNA", at positions 45 to 604 of the family's 3401-position model. The record is from RNAcentral. Lineage: Eukaryota; Fungi; Ascomycota; Pichiomycetes; Serinales; Debaryomycetaceae.
AAAAAGCGGAGGAAAAGAAACCAACAGGGAUUGCCUCAGUAGCGGCGAGUGAAGCGGCAAAAGCUCAAAUUUGAAAUCUGGCGUCUUUGGCGUCCGAGUUGUAAUUUGAAGAAGGUAUCUUUGGGCCCGGCUCUUGUCUAUGUUCCUUGGAACAGGACGUCACAGAGGGUGAGAAUCCCGUGCGAUGAGAUGACCCGGGUCUGUGUAAAGUUCCUUCGACGAGUCGAGUUGUUUGGGAAUGCAGCUCUAAGUGGGUGGUAAAUUCCAUCUAAAGCUAAAUAUUGGCGAGAGACCGAUAGCGAACAAGUACAGUGAUGGAAAGAUGAAAAGAACUUUGAAAAGAGAGUGAAAAAGUACGUGAAAUUGUUGAAAGGGAAGGGCUUGAGAUCAGACUUGGUAUUUUGCAUGCUGCUCUCUCGGGGGCGGCCGCUGCGGUUUACCGGGCCAGCAUCGGUUUGGAGCGGCAGGAUAAUGGCGGAGGAAUGUGGCACGGCUUCUGCUUGUUUAUAGCCUCUGACGAUACUGCCAGCCUAGACCGAGGACUGCGGUUUAC